Molecule: long non-coding RNA, 1147 nt
Filed under: Struthio camelus australis
Lineage: Eukaryota; Metazoa; Chordata; Aves; Struthioniformes; Struthionidae
Description: lncRNA (ENSSCUG00000010119.1)
Source: RNAcentral
GAGGCCAGCCUCUUCUCCGUGGUGCCCAGCAACAGGACAAGAGGCAAUGGGCAGAAACUGAACCACAGGAAGUUCCAUCUGAACCUGAGAAAAAACUUCUUCACUGUGAGGGUGACAGAGCAUUGGAACAGGUUGCCCAGAGAGGUGGUGGAGUCUCCUUCGCUGGAGAUAUUCAAAACCCGUCUGGAUGUGAUCCUGGGCAAUAUGCUCUAGGUGACCCUGUUUGAACAGGGAGGUUGGACUAGAUGAUCUCCAGAGGUCCAUUCCAACCUAAACGAUUCUAUGAUUCUGUGAGAAGCAAAAGCUUUCACAUGAGUAAUAGUGCAAAACUUUUUAGCGUAGACAUUGAUUUUGUGUUGCAUUAGAGAUGCAAAGUUUGCAAACUUAAUUCCAUAAUGUCAGCUGCUAUAAUAAUUUUUGUAGUGACAGGGAAUAGAAUGAGUUAGGGAAGACUAUGGUGACAAACAAUUGACAACUUAAUAAUUUGAUGGAUUUUUAACUUAGUGCUAUUAAGGAUUUCAUUCUAAAUAGUAAAGAAUCAGAUUACUAAUCCAGUUUUCUUCAUUCAGAGUUGAAUAAAAUACAAGAAACAUGCAACAAACUGGUGGAAGAGAUUGUGGUGAAACUAGAAGCAGAGCUACAACUGUCUCCGGUGUUGCAGUGUCUUUGAAGAGUGUGUUCAGGUCCAAUACUGUCACCACUGACGCGGCUUCAAACUUUCAAUGGCAUACGUGAUACUUUACACUCUGGAGCUGUUGGAGCCUACUUCGUGACCAGGCUCUCGUGGUCAUUGGCUCAUGAGAAGGCACACUAGCAUCUGCCCUACAGCAGAAGAGUUGCAGGCAAUCCAGAAAUGUUUCUCAUGGUGAACGUGCUCUUUUGUCUCUGAUUCACUGACAGCAAGAAUCAGAGAAAGAGGAAAAAAAUGAAGAGAAAAGGUGGUGCAUUUUCAAUAAUUCUUCCUUUUAGAAAUUAUGUUCUACUGUGAUAUAAUACCAAAAUGAAAUUGGUGAGAAAGCUGCAGUGUUAGGCUACCUGUAGAACAUGCUCAUGGGAAUGGGGAAUGACCUAUAUCACUACAACAGAGGAGGAAAAAAUAGCAUGCUAAGAGAAUAAACUCAACUCUUAUUUUUCCUGGUGCCUUUUG